Salvia hispanica is the source of this 407-nucleotide non-coding RNA. The record is from RefSeq and is a predicted model, not a curated record. Lineage: Eukaryota; Viridiplantae; Streptophyta; Magnoliopsida; Lamiales; Lamiaceae.
GUGGCCGCCGGCAAUCGGCCCUCCCCUCCUUGCCCGCAGCCUCUCCCUCUCCAUCUUCUCUAACCUCCAUUAAUGGAUUUCAAGGUUGAAGCUUUGUUUCCCCAAACUCAAGUUUCUUGCGAAUUAAGUGCUAGGGGUGGCGCAUCCAAGGCUCGAGGAUGGACAACCUAAACCAAGCUUGAGGAGGUUAUUUUGAAUUUCAGCUUUCGAGGUUAAGGAGUCGGUGAUGGGGCAGCAGUCAACGUGGUCCACGGUCUCCCAGCCGCUAUGUUUGACUAGUAGACCCUUUGGUAUUUGGGUAAAAGUGAAUUGGUUGGAGAGUAAACUUGAUAACUUUUAUGCUAUUAUAUUUUGAAUGAUGUAGGUUUCAAUCCGAUUAAGCGGGAUAUUUUAUUUUGGUUGCUGGA